RNAcentral lists this long non-coding RNA (11452 nucleotides) under Oryza sativa (Asian cultivated rice). RNAcentral describes it as "long non-coding RNA (OSAT_LNC001429)". Lineage: Eukaryota; Viridiplantae; Streptophyta; Magnoliopsida; Poales; Poaceae. The record is from RNAcentral.
CGUACAACCCAGAGUACCAGGACGAGUCGGUGCUGUGGACCGAGAGCAAGGACGUCGGCCAUGGCUUCCGCUGCAUCCGCAUGGUCAACAACAUCUACCUCAACUUGGACGCCUUCCACGGCGACAAGUCCCACGGCGGCGUGCACGACGGCACCACCGUCGUGCUCUGGGAGUGGUGCAAGGGCGACAACCAGUGCUGGAAGAUCCUCCCCUGGGGCCCCGAGGCGUACGCGCCGCCGCCGCCGCCAGCAUACGGGCACCAGGCAUACCCGCCGCCGCCGCCCAACCGUGAACCUGGCCACGGCUACCACCCCGCACCUGCGUUCUACCCGCCGCAGCCGCCACCGAGCCACGAUGAGCCGGGCUACGGCUACCGUCCACCGCCGGUCGGACCACCCGGUGCAGGGUACGGCAACCGGCUGCCCCGCGCGCUGGCGUCGGAGCCCACCGUGCGCAUCCUGUGCAGGGCCGACGAGGCGUACAGCCUCACCGUCAGGAACGGCGCCGUCUGCCUUGCACCAACCAAUCCCAGGGAUGACUUCCAGGUUAUUUCCGUUGCAUACAAUUCCAUCUCAAAUUCUUAACACCGAUAGAUCAACUCCAUCGUGAUCUUGUCUAACUAUUCUAAUCAUGUUCAAAUCCGAUUUGCAGCACUGGGUGAAGGACAUGAGGCACAGCACGAGCAUCAAGGACGAGGAAGGCUACCCGGCGUUCGCGCUGGUGAACAAGGCCACCGGGGAAGCCAUCAAGCACUCCCUCGGACAGAGCCACCCUGUAUGUACAUACAUACAUACAUACAUCUUCUUCAUUAGAUAAUUAAUUCAGUCUGUUUCAUAUAUGUCAAAAAAUCAGUCAACGUAGUGGUUGGAGCGUCGUAGUAGUAGCAAUCAACGCUUACGAUUUCUGGAAUGGCGUCACAUGAUGUGAAUUUGUCGCAAAACCACUACUACACUAGUAGUUGAUGAUCUGACACGUUCGUCUGCACGCAGGUUAGGCUGGUGCCAUACAACCCGGAGUACCUGGACGAGUCGGUGCUGUGGACGGAGAGCAAGGACGUCGGCCAUGGCUUCCGCUGCGUCCGCAUGGUGAACAACAUCUACCUCAACUUUGACGCCUUCCAUGGCGACAAGGACCACGGCGGCGUCCACGACGGCACCACCGUCGUGCUCUGGGAGUGGUGUAAGGGCGACAACCAGCGCUGGAAGAUCCUCCCCUGGUGUAAGUAAUUAUCACCGAUAUAUAGCUUAAUUAGUCAGAAUCUUUCAACUGACAUUGUUUGGUUUUGUUCCUUCUGACGCAGAAAUCGAGAGACCGUCAACAAAAGCAUCGAUCGAUCCGUCACCUGUGCUUGCAUUUGGCACUGUUCGAGUUCGACCAUGCAUGCAUGUCGUGUUACUGUUGCGUGUCCUGUGUUUAUGUCACUGCAGAAUAAAUCAGGGUCUCGCUGUCAGCAGAGAUCAGAUGACCCCCUCCCUGCUAUUUGGUGUGGAUCCAUGCGUAUAUGCGCAUCUUUUGUACGAAGUUCUACUAGUUCAUGUCAUGAGAUGCCUGUCUACUCUGCCCAGUUUGCUUCUGGCGAGAUGAGUACUGCUCCGGUUUGAUACUCUACUACAGUACUAUGCGGUUGAUCUAUGUUUGGUACAUCUGCUUCGACGACUCAAUUAUGACAAAUGGUUAAUCCCAAUGACACCACACCUAAUACCCGCGAUUAAUUCCGCUAGCUAUAAAAGGCCGUGAGUAAUUAAGUCAACACUGAAGAUUAUUGUCAUAUUAUUGCACAGAGCAGGUUUGUUAAGAUCGUUGUGAUCAUAAAAUUAAAUCAAAAUUUCCGUGUAACAACGCCGCUCUUCGCGCCUUCCUCACCAGCUGCUCCAGGCCACUCCCUCCUGCGCUCCUCCCGCCGCCUUUGCCGCUGCCGCCUCUCGCCGCCAAGGCGGUGGAGGUUGUGCCGAAGUGCAGUGAGCGUAUCGCUGCUAAGAUGGCACUUGAGGCGCUUGAGGGGCCGAUCCACGCAGUGUCGCGCGCCCAGCGCAACCUGAUGCGGAAGCUCGGCCUAGUUCCGGAGAGGGGCCCGGUCACGGCCGAGGCGAUCGCGGCUUACAACGCCCUCUUCUCCAAGCCACUUUCCCAGGAGCACAUCAUCGCGCUCUCCUCGCUCUUCUCCGGCUCCUUGCCCCCGGGCAAGGCUGCGGAGGCGUUGGUCGUGUGCGGCUGAUCGGUUUCUUCUCUUCUACUCUCGGUGUGGUCCCCCUCAAUGGGAUCAUGCAAUGAGAACGUUUUGGUGUGGAACGUGCGAGGUCUGAACUCGCGUGCCCGCCCGGAUGCUGUGCGUGAUGUAGUCCGUGAUGAGCAUGUCUCUCUUCUCUGUCUUCAGGAGACUAUUAUGGAUGUAAUCCCCUCUCGUACUAUUCUGGAAAUGCUAGGCCUCGACUUUGAUUAUUCCUUCUUGUCUGCGGUCGGUCGGAGUGGGGGGUGUUGCUUGCCUGGCGGACGACUGUCUGGUCUGUCUCAGAUGUUCACCUUGCGGAUUUCUCUCUUACCGCGUUGGUUCGACACUCUUCUGAUGUCGCCCCCUGGUGGCUCUCCAUCGUCUAUGGGCCACAGGAGGAGCCUUACAAACUUCGUUUCUUAGAUGAGCUUCGUUCGCUGCGCUCCUCUCGCACGGGGCCGUGGGCCGUCGUAGGCGAUUUCAACCUCAUUCUCGAAGCUCGGGAUAAAAACAACCUUAAUCUCAAUCGUCGUAUGAUGGGUCGUUUUCGUCGACUCGUCGACGAGUUGGAACUCCAGGAGCUGCUGCUUCACGGACGUCGCUUCACUUGGAGCAAUGAGCGCGAGUCGCCUACGCUUGUUAAGCUCGACCGCGUCCUCUUCUCUGCGGAUUGGGAGGAGCUUUUCCCCUCUUGCCUCCUCCAAGCGGCCUCUUCUAUCACCUCUGAUCACUGUGCUCUUCUCCUUCAUACCUGCGUCACCUCCCCGAAAGCGCAUCGUUUUCGUUUUGAGGCCUUUUGGCCCAAGUUCGACGGCUUUCUUCAAGUCGUGCAGGACGCCUGGCAUCCCCCUACCAACCUACCCCCUCUUGCUGCUCUUCCCUGGUGCUUCUCUACCACGGCCAAGCGCUUACAGAGCUGGAGUGAACAUCACAUUGGCAGUGUUCGUCUGCAGCUUCAGAUGGCGAAGGAACUUGUCUUCCGGCUUGAUGUUGCGCAGGAGAGUCGGUCUCUUUCCCCCUUGGAGACCUGGCUGUGGCGAGAUUUAAAGUUGAAGUGUCUUGGUCUUGCCUCGCUUGAGCGUACUAUCGCGCGUCAACGUUCACGUUUGGUCUGGCUUAAGGAGGGUGACGCCAAUACCAAGUUCUUCCACCUGCACGCCAGAGCUCGUAGGCGGAAGAACUUCAUCACGCGCCUUCGUGAUGGUGACCAGCUUGUCGUCUCCCAUGAUGCGCUGCAAGAGCUUGCCUCCUCUCACUUUUGCGCCAUCUUGGGGACGAGCUUCGAGCGUGAACUCGCCCUAGACCUCCACUCUCUUGGCCUCCGCCCUGCGCAGCUUGAGGGGCUGGACUGUCCCUUCACAGAGGAUGAGGUCUGGGCGGUGAUCAAGUCCUUGCCCUCUGAUAAGGCGCCCAGUCCUGACGGUUUUACGGGCCGUUUCUACAAGUCUUGCUGGCCGGUGAUCAAGGUCGAAAUUCUGGCGGCCCUUAACUCCUUGUUCCUGACCAACGGCCAAGGUUUUGCUUCCCUCAACGACGCCCUAAUCUCCCUCUUGCCGAAGAAGGACGAGGCUGUUGAUGUUAAGGAUUUCAGGCCGAUUAGCAUUAUUCACAGCUUUGGGAAGCUGUUCUCCAAGAUCUUGGCCUCUCGUCUCUCCCCUCGCCUGGACGAGCUUGUGGCGCCUAACCAGAGCGCUUUCAUCAAGGGCCGCUCUCUCCAUGACAACUUCCGCUAUGUCCAGAUUGAGGCAAGGGCGCUCCACGCCAAACGCGUUCCCCGACUUCUUCUCAAGGUGGAUAUCGCGAAGGCCUUUGACAUGGUCAGCUAGCCUUUCUUGCUUGAGGUGCUAGCCCAGCUUGGCUUCAGUCAACGUUGGCGUGAUUGGAUCUCCCUCAUUCUCAGUGCCUCCUCUUCCCGGGUACUGGUUAAUGGGGUGCCAGGUCCAUGGUUCCCCCAUCGGAGAGGUCUUUGCCAAGGAGAUCCUCUUUCCCCCAUGCUUUUCAUUCUAGUCAUGGAUGUGCUCAAUGCGAUGCUCCGCAAAGCCUCUGAUUCGGGUGGUUUUCUUCCCCUCAAUGACCGUGCUAUUCGACAUCGUGCAUCCCUCUACGCCGAUGAUCUAGUUCUCUUCCUUUCCCCCGUUCGGCAAGACCUUGAGUUCAUCCAAGGCAUCCUCUCUGUCUUCGGUGCCGCUUCCGGGCUUCGGACCAACUUCACCAAGUGCUCGGUUACUCCGAUCCGCUGCUCGGUUCUUGACCUGGAGCUGGUUCAGUCCUCUUUUCCUUGCUCGAUCUCGGAGUUUCCCUGCACCUACCUCGGCAUUCCACUGUCAGUUCGCAAGCUGCCAAAAGCGGCCCUGCAACUGCUUGUGGAUAAAGUCUCCCAUCGGCUCCCCCCCUGGAAGGGCCGUCUAACCACUCUGGCGGGUCGCUCGGUUCUAGUCUAGUCGGUUCUCCGUUUCUAUGGCGAUCGGCUUGCCAAGCUGGGUUAUCAAAGCCAUUGACAAGAAGCGUCGCGCCUUCUUGUGGAUGGGUACAGACUCGGCCAAUGGGGGACAGUGCCGGGUGUCCUGGACGAGGGUUUGUCGUCCUAGGGAUCUCGGUGGACUGGGCAUUCCGGAUCUCAGGGUGGCUGGCUUUGCCUUGAGAGUUCGCUGGCUCUGGCUUCAGCGCUCGGGACACCCCUACUGGUCUGAUCUGAAGGCCCCUAUUGAGUGGAGUGUCUCCGACAUGUUCGCAGCAUCCACCUUCUCUAUCCUGGGAGAUGGUCAGUCCACGCUCUUCUGGACUGAUCGGUGGAUCGAUGGUCGCUCGAUAGCUUCUAUAGCUCCUGACCUCCUCCACGCCGUGCCUCCACGCUUCCGGGGAUCGCGCACAGUUACUGCUGGGUUAGCGAACAACUCCUGGGUUGGUGACAUACGUGGCGCCCUCACUGUCCCAGUCAUCUCUCAGUUCCUGUUAGUCUGGGACGCGGUGCUUCCUACCCAGCUCUCGCCGGGUGUUGAGGAUCACCUCGUCUGGCGUUGGACGGGUGACCAGUGCUACUCAGCGCGAUCGGCGUAUCAGGCGUUCUUCCUUGGCCAACACUCUUUUGCCUGUGCCGACUUACUCUGGCACGCGAAGGGCCCUGCUAAAUGCAAGUUCUUCCUUUGGUUUGCAUUUCAGCAGCGCUGUUGGACUGCCGAUCUUCUCCAAAAGCGUGGUAUCGAUAGCCACUCUGCUUGCCCCUUUUGUGCUCAGGAGCUUGAGACAGCGAACCACAUCCUCAUUGAUUGCGUGUUCGCUCGGCAGGUCUGGCUCCGUGUGUUGUCCCCUCCUGGCUGGGCUGCCCUCUCUCCCCCUCGUGGCAGUUGGCUCCAGGAUUGGUGGUCAUCCUCCAGGGUAUAUUUACCUGAGCACCUCCGCAGCGGCUUCGACUCCUUGGUACUCCUAGUCUCCUGGCAGCUGUGGAAGGAACGAAACUCCAGGGUUUUCGACUCUGUGCUCGCUUCGGUUGCAGUGGUUCUGGAGUCCAUCCGCUCGGAGGGCCAGCUGUGGUCUUUAGCUAGUGUUACUUUUUUUGGGGUUUUCUUGGAAAUGUAGCGUGGCUCUGCCCCCUCCCGCUGUUUGGAGUUGUGUUUUUAACCGUCGUAGUAGUUCCUAGCUUCAAGUCCCCCCCCCCUUUUAGGCAUAAGCCAGUCUGGCUGAUUGUUUUGUGUAACAAAAACUCUUUUCCUGCUAAUAUACUGACGUGCAAUCCUUUUGCGCGUUCGCAAAAAAAUUUCCGUGUAAGGCCAUAAUCAUAAAAUUGUAUAUAUACAUAAAAAUUGUAAAAAUCGUAAAAUCAGCUAACUAAAAUUUUAUAACAGAAUCGAGAUUUCAGAUUAAGGGCUUGCAAAAGUCCGAGUCUAAUGUUGUUGUUAAGAACUACUACUCCUAAGGACUAGAGACUUCUAGGUUGCCAUCAAGUCAGCCCAUCGUCAGUACUCUGCAGGUACACUACCGUUUGUUCGCAUGCCGAUGGGUCCAAUUCAAUUCUUAUCUUGGAAAAAUGCAGAUUGGUCUAACUCUUAACUCCCAAGCGUCCAAGUCUUACAUCACGGACGAAAUUAACAAUGUAGUGCUGUUUUUUCAACAAGGCCGAACAGCUAAACAUGAAGAAAAAAAAUGAUGAACUGCUCGUCCUCUUAUAUAUAGGAUUGGCAAUGCACUUUUGGGUGUGAGAUGCACACGCAACACAAUCAGAUUUAGUCAAAGAGCAGUUGAGCAAACCUACGUUAAUUAUCUCCAUAUGUGCACCAAAAACCGUCCAAACUAAGCAAACAGUUUGGAUUGAGAAGCUGAUGUAUCAAGUACAGACGAACAAUCUGCAUCUUCUCUUUGGAAGAGUAGACUAGUACUAGAGUAUAGACGGAGACAAGAAGCAAGGUUCCAAACGGGCCAAAAUUAGUGAAAAGUGUAAUAGGGCCCAUAUGUAUCAAGGGGUGGGCAUUUGGUCAGAUUGAAAAUUUUGAUCUUGAUAUCUUGAUAUCCUGUCUUUUUUCGGUUAGUUCGGUUAUUGAAAAGAGACUGGACAAUAGUAGAAAUUUAUCAAGACCACCAAAUUUGGUCUCGAUCUUGAUCAUGAUUAAAAUAAUCAGGAGAUAAAUUAAGAAAAUCACAAGAAAAUUAUCCAAAAUAAAAAAAAUCAGAGUGGAUGGGGGCUGGGGAGGCCAGGUUGCAAUCUUCGUCGAUAGCCCCUCAACCAACCACCGACUAUUGCAUGUGCCCUCCUGCUCCGCCGCCAUCUCCACCUUGUGCCCAAAUCAAGAAAACUGCUAGAGGGAAGGGGAUGACGGCUUGAUGUAUCGUCUUUGUUGGAGUCGAGGAGUAGCCGCCGGUACGUGCAGGAGUGGACAGAGAGGUUGAGGGGAGGCCAGCUGUAUGUCGCCAUCGUUGGAGUCGAGGCGCCACUGCCAGCAUGAGCAAGAAAGGAGGUCUGAGUAGAGGACUGGAGGGGAGUCGGAGGUAGGCUAUACAAUGGCGGUGUGGUGCGAGGAGGAGGCGCGAGCACAACGCGAUGGUGCUGAGGCGAUUCUUGUUGGGCGGAGGGGGAGGGGGGCGCUGGCUUGGUCAACACGCGAAGGCAAGAAGAAGCGGGUGACGGCGACGCAACAACCAAAAGGCCGGGGUGGCAGGGUGGGUGGUGUGGAUGUGGGGUUUGUUGGGACUUGGAGGGGUGGAAAAUUAGAGUUUCUCUAUCGGGCUUAGUGGGCUUAUAGGGCUUAGAAGGUAUUUCGGUUGAUUCGGUCAACCGAAGCCCAUGACCGAACAAAAUUUGGUUAGUUCAGUAUAGAUACCGAAAUUCUCGGUCUUGGUAUGGUCAGUUUAGCUUGGUCUUUGGUUUCAGUUUUUUCUUGCUUACCCCUAAAUACAUCCAUUUUUUCCGAACAAAUAUGGCCCAAGUUUUGUUAUUGGACCUCCACUUCGUAAUAUGAAUGGCCCACCUAUUAGCUGUACAUGACGACGAUGAUCCAAACAUUCAGUACGUGAAUUUCACCAGCCCAAAACAUCCUUCCUCAAGAGAAAAUGAAGGCAUCAUUGAAGCUGCUUUUUUUUUCUUUGCUAAACACAUGCUCACAGCCUCCGUGCACCCACAAACAUCCUACCUUUACAGACUGUGCCAAUAUAAAGCACACCCAAAGAUUGUGCCAAUAUAAAAAAGCACUCACGGUCUCCUUGUUGAUGAAUACGUCGUCUACAAAAAAAAAAAAAGAGUCUACCUGUAGCGCUAUCGAUCGAUUUUAAACAAAAAAACUAUCGAUGUAACUCGGGUGUAAUUACAGCCUAGUUAUACUGUGACUACACUAUAAGUAGUACUUCCUCCAUUUAUAAUGUAUGACGUCGUUGACUUUUCAUAACAUUUGAUCGUUCAUCUUAUUCAAAAUGAUUAUAUAAAUAUUAUUGUUUAUUGUGAUUUGUUUUAUCAUCAAAUAAAAUAUAAUCUUACCUUAUACUUUUACAUAUUAUUUUUUAAUAAGAUUAAAUGUUAUAAAAAAAUCAAAGGCGCUAUACAUUUUGAAAAGAAGGUAGUAUGUAAUUGAGUUCAAAACUUUAAAACACAAGGCAACACGGUGCCAUGCGAAUGGAAAGGUCAAGGUAUCCAUUUCCGUUCUAAUUUUAAAAAUAAUUAACCAUAAAUAGUACUCCCUUCAUCCCAAAUAGAUUAACCAUAAAUAGUAUGUUUAUACACCAAGAACAAGAAUAAUUUAAAUCGCAUCAAUAAAGACACCAUACACAUAUUCUUUCACAAUACAUGCAUCGAUUAAAAUACCAUGCCAAUUACAUUUUUAGCAUGCACACAUUCUCUCUUGCUACAUUAGUUGUAUUCCGAUGAAAUUCGUGUCCAUGCGCACGGUUAUAUGAUGAUUAAUUUAAGAAAUUUUAAAUUUUAUUAUAUGAUAAACAAUAUGGGAAGGAGGGAGUAAUAUAUAUUAGUAACCCUUUGCGAAAACAACAUUUUUUCUUAAACCGAGCCCCUGCUAAAAUGCUUUUGAGCUAGGGAUUGUUGAUCCACAUCCACAUGGCACUUCAUGAGAUAAGCACCCUUGUUUUCGAUUAUGACGAGGGAGAUAUCAUAGAGUAAUACUUUUCUCGUCUAAAAAACUUAACCUAGAAGAGGUUACAUCCUAAGACAAUAAAUCUGAACUAGAAGAGAUCAGUAGGUUGAGUUUUUUUUAAGGGUGGAGGGAGUAUACGAGCAGGGUGGCAAAACGUGUGCCUACCUGAGCUAAACCCACACACCCAUGAUCCAUCCAGUCCAGAUAAACCCAGCCAAGCUUAGCUAACAGAUUAGAUUAGCCUUUUUAUUUUCUGUUGAAAUCGUCAAGGUUGGUUUGUGGAGUACUAUACUAGCUAGACAGGACAAAAGUGUUCACCUAAUCACACCAAGACAAUAAUAAAUUCACCAUUACCAAUUUAGCAAAUGCAACAUCAUCUGCUCCAACGUCCACAAACUCCACAGGACAACCUACACAUAGCAAUUACUACUCCUAAUUGUAAGGUGAGUUUAAGGACAGGCUUCACCUACUCCUCUAAAGUUAUCACUGGUUAUUUAUAAGCUCUCUACAAAAGAUCUAUGUCAGUAUAUUUUCCUACUUAGAAGGUAUUAAAUGAAGAGAGAGAGUAAAGCUAUCUACUAACUUAGAGAUAAUCUAUAGAGAAAAACGAGGCAAUGCAUGAGAGAGCUAUAGAUACAAAUGUAGACAUACUAUUAAGGUGGUUUACUAUUAAUCGAGUCUAUUGCUGAGAUGUAUAUGUUUUAUAGAGAGUACCUUAUUUUACCAUUGCGGGAGCUAUAAGGGUAGAACGGUUGAAACAACGGUACUAUACUACUACAAACCAGCAACGCGUUGCUAUCUGCACAGCACUCCAAAUGUUCGCGAAAACUUGACUUGUUUUCGUUUGAGAAAGUUAAAGAGUCGAAACUUUUCAUCCUGACAAGUUGAGAGAGUAGUACGUGACAACAAAAAUCAAAGGGAGAUGCAUGUAGCUAACCCGUUUUCUGCCUGCUGCAUUGUUGUUAAGCACAACAACAAAGCUUAAGCCUGUAAAAGCAUUGCAAAAGGCAGGCGACGCGUCGAUUAAUUAGGUGUUGAAAUCUGGAACGUUCUUGGCCAUACAGGCGCUGCGUGGCCGUGAUAUAGAGCAGCUUGCCGGGUAAAAAGAUUAUUCUCUUAUCAGUUAACAACUUUUUUACCACCUUUCAUGCAUCAUGCAUCAUUCAGGUCAGAUUAGAUGUGCUCAUUGGAAACGGACAGGGAUGAUCGAACCAUCCAUCCAUGGGCGAUCCAUGGUGAUUCAGAAAAGUAAAACUGCCUUUGUUUCUUGUGUAGCACAGGGAUGCAAACGUACAAAACGACCGUCACAAGGGUCAUCUCUAGCUGGAAUCACAUCUCUUAGCUUGUUUUAUGGAUUUGCGUCAGGUGCACGCUUCAAUCCUGGGCCACGGCAUGCAUUUCGAUCACCUCGUCCUUCGUGGCGACAUACCUUUCGAUUUUGGGGAAAACAAUGGUCGAAAUUCCCGGACAAUGGAAAGCGAGCAAGCAGCAUCUCUCUUUGUUCUUUUCUUAAGCAAAGAUUGUUUUUUUCCCCUUAAUUUUUAUUUCGGGUGAAAGAGUUUAUGCUUUUCUGAAAAAGAAAGUGUUGUUUUACAAGUUGGAAGGGAUCCACAUUCUCUAUCAUAAUGGCAGCACUACCAUUACAAGCACUGACGUGUGGAACAAUAGGAGUAUAUGACCCACAUACCUGUCACGGUAAUGGUAGUGAUAUUAUGUUAUCCGGUUGUAAGAAAUCAGGCUGCUCCAAAAAUACUCAAUGAAGUUGGUGUACUGCUCUAGUCUUCCACUGAGUAAGUAGAGCAAUUAACUGUGCACCAGUAAUCAAAUCUUUGCAUUUACUCGCACAUUUAGUAAUGCAAAUCUCAGCACAAUGAAUUACUGGUACUAGCAUCCAAGUCAAGUUCAUGGAACCGAAUCUGAGAGUACAUUAAACACCAAAGAUAUAUCAUAUCAUAUCAAAUAUUCAAAUCAAACGGCUAGAAUGCAAAACAUACACGCACGCAUGUCACGCGUUUGAGCCAGUCGAGGACCACCGGUGGGCCCAGCUGUCAGCGAACGUGGGAGUUGGCACAGGAGAGCGCGUCAUCGAGCCGAGCCGAUCGAUCAGUGGGUGAGGGUGAGAGUGGCCGGCCUUGGCCUUCUAUAAAACGUGGCACCUCUCGCUCCUCCUCGCAUCAUCGCUCGCAGUCGCAGCACAAAAACAUUUCUCUCGCGAGUCGCGAGUUGCACCGAUCGAAUUAAGGGUCGAAGAUGUUUGGGUUCGGGCACCACCACAACCAGGCACCGGCGGCGCCGUCGGACCCGAACCAGAUCUUCAAGAUCUUCUGCCGCGCCAACGAGAACUACUGCCUCACCGUCCGCGACAGCGCCGUCGUCCUCGCCCCCGUCAACCCCAAGGACGAGCACCAGGUCAGGUCCCCCUUCUUAUAUAUGCCUUUUCUUUUGUUUCUAUAUUCGAUCGGAUUUUGAUGUAUACUGAAAUGGAAUGAAUUGAAAUGCAGCACUGGUUCAAGGACAUGAGGUUCAGCACCAAGGUGAAGGACGGGGAGGGCAUGCCGGCGUUCGCCCUCGUCAACAAGGCCACCGGACUCGCCGUCAAGCACUCCCUCGGCCAGUCCCACCCCGUAAUACUAUAUUUCUAUUUUGCUGCUAGCUUUGUGCGUGCUGCCAU